CAGGUGUAUGACAAAUAUCUACGCACAAAAUCCUAUUCAAUUGUUUAUUCAUGUAUUGCCGUAAUGCCGUGUUAGGGAUGAUGAGUGGUGUAUAUAAGGGUUUAAAUUGGUGAAUGCUUUUGCACGUAUCAUGUGCGUGCAUCAAGCAUGCAUUUAGCUUUGAGUGCAUGAGACCGGUGAGAUAAUAGCUCAGUUGAAGCUCUCCAUACCCAAAGCAUGCUCGACGGACAGUUUGACCAGGAAGUGAGGGAGCUGUUGGUGAUGAUCAUCGAGAAGGUGAAAAUGCUGCCAGGAUGAGGUGAGACACAGAGACCGAGGAGGUGAGACACAUGGAUGAAGGAGCUGCCGGGUUGACGCAUGUUUCCCAGUUGAAGAGGAAGCCGGACAGGUUACAAUAGUGCGGUACCGGAGGAGACCCAAGUCUAAGAUCUGGGACUCAGUGGGUUUGAACGAAAAUAUCUUCGUACCGGGAUCGAAGAUGCAGGCCUCUCCUAAGCCGGGUCCCGGAUUGUUGAUAUAUAUAGCUGGUGAGUCUCGAGCGAGCUAUGAGCCUCCAAGUUUGUUCUUCCCUAGAAGCUUGUCAGCGAACCAGAUGAUCAACGGGAACCGAGGUAACCAAAAUGAAGAAAUUUCUGAGGUCAUCACUGGGAUUUGAAUAGGUGAUGAUCUGAGUUGCUGGUAUGGGUCACCAGGAUGUGUUACCGAGAGGUAAGGUUACGGGUGCUGGAAGCUCAAAGUUACCACUGUGAGAAGAUUAAUUGCCGAGAUGAAGCAUGGGUGCCCAUAUAAGAUUUGGGUGACCAAAUCAAUCUGGGUACCCGUCUUGGUCUCUAAUGUGAGAGAGUUCCCGACGGCUGUGACUAUCCAUCAAAGUUGCUUCCGGGAUGAGUUGAGCUAUGGUUGUAGAAUUGAGGGUGCGGGGGUGUGUGCUUACCCGCUGACUCAUGAGAGUCCCGGAGAAAAGUGAGGCUUGGGAGUGGGGUUGAGGGUACGGGGAUGUGCACGUACCCGCUGGCUUGUGGUACCCGUUGGCUCAUGUAUCUGGUGGCUCCUCGGAGGCUUGGGUGAGGAAGGUGAGGGGUGUCUUGCGUGUACCCGCUGACUUGUGGUACCCGUACAUGACCCUUGCUCAAGGUGCGGGGUGUCUUGCGCAUACAUGAUUGGUGGUUCCCGUACAUGACCCUUGCUCAAGGUCGGAGGCUCAUACCCAAACUCCUAGGGACCCUCAUUCUAGCGCCAAUGUUUCUGUGUGAGAAUACGGAACGGGAACUAAGUAUGAGGCAAGGUAGAGAGGGAGAGAGAAAUGACACAAACAUGUAUAGUGGUUCACCUUGCCCUUGAGGCAAGGCUACGUCCACUUAGAAGUUCCACUAUGAGUGAGGCCAAGUAGCCUUUGUAGUGAUACAAGUAUGGGGAUCAUGGAUCCCAUCCUCUUCUAAGAAUGGGAGGACUUCCCUUUAUAGCUAAAGGAAAUCUCAUUUUAUUCUACAUUUCCGAUGUGGGACAAUAAUACACACAUUUGCUUCUCUUGAAGCCUUUUGAAGAGCAUGGGAGGGUGGCCUCCCGACUAGAUACCGGCCGACCUCCACCAUGGCAACGUAGCUCGGGUGUCGGUCUACCGAAUGCAUGCCAUAGGUGGGGCUAGCCAUGUCGUGGGGCCCAUGUACGAGGUUGUUGCUUAUACUUGGCGGUAUGUAAUAUAGGCGGUAUGUACAACAAUAUACACUUGUAAAAAUACUUUUCACGUUUUAUACUCACUUGUGUACUUAACUUGUGCCCUGUGUGAGAAAUUAUGUACAAUAUACUUGUUAGUUAUACUUGUACUUUGUAAUUCAUAGUUAUACUUGUUUUUA
Long non-coding RNA from Rosa rugosa (rugosa rose), 1853 nucleotides. RefSeq lists it as uncharacterized. The transcript has 2 exons. NCBI's taxonomy places the organism in Eukaryota, Viridiplantae, Streptophyta, Magnoliopsida, Rosales, Rosaceae. The record is from RefSeq and is a predicted model, not a curated record.